AAGUCGUAACAAGGUCUCCGUUGGUGAACCAGCGGAGGGAUCAUUACAAGAAGCCGAAAGGCUGCUUAAAACCAUCGCGAACCUAUCCAUCAGCGUUGCUUCGGCGGGAUGAGGCCGCCGGGCCGGGGACCCGCACCCUCUCGGGGGUGCGGGGCCCGCCCGCCGGAGGUAUGAAACUCUUCUGUAUCUGUAGUGGAAUCUCUGAGUAAGCAAGCAAAUAAGUCAAAACUUUCAACAACGGAUCUCUUGGUUCUG
This 255-nucleotide unclassified non-coding RNA is filed under the name fungal sp. RNAcentral describes it as "partial internal transcribed spacer region". The stretch from base 1 to 46 matches the Rfam family "Eukaryotic small subunit ribosomal RNA", at positions 1786 to 1831 of the family's 1831-position model. The record is from RNAcentral. Lineage: Eukaryota; Fungi.